Molecule: small RNA, 51 nt
Filed under: human gut metagenome
Description: Streptococcus sRNA SpF59 (ldcC RNA)
Rfam family: Streptococcus sRNA SpF59 (ldcC RNA)
Source: RNAcentral
GACCACUUCAGCACGAAGUCAAGGCCAUACGGACAGCCGGGUCCAAUGCCG